RNAcentral lists this ribosomal RNA (197 nucleotides) under uncultured bacterium. RNAcentral's name for it is "partial 16S ribosomal RNA". It matches the Rfam family "Bacterial small subunit ribosomal RNA", at positions 328 to 539 of the family's 1533-position model. The record is from RNAcentral.
ACGCUCGACACCUACGGGAGGCAGCAGUGGGGGAUAUUGCACAAUGGGGGAAACCCUGAUGCAGCGACGCCGCGUGAAGGAAGAAGGCCUUCGGUUGUAACUUCUGUCGUACGGGACGAUAAUGACGGUACCGUACAAGAAAGCCACGGCUAACUACGUGCCGGCAGCCGCGGUAAUCUGAGGCGGGCUGGCAAGGC